RNAcentral lists this ribosomal RNA (467 nucleotides) under uncultured bacterium. RNAcentral's name for it is "partial 16S ribosomal RNA". It matches the Rfam family "Bacterial small subunit ribosomal RNA", at positions 28 to 507 of the family's 1533-position model. The record is from RNAcentral.
GACGAACGCUGGCGGCGUGCUUAACACAUGCAAGUCGAACGGAAAGGCCUCUUUCGGGGGGUACUCGCGAGGCGCACGGGUGAGUAAAACGUGAGUAACAUGCCCUUGACUCUGGGAUAACUCCAGGAAACUGGGGCUCAUACCGGAUAGGAGCUCCUGCUGCACGGUGGGGGUUGGAAAGUUUCGGCGGUUGGGGAUGGACUCGCGGCUCAUCAGCUCGUUGGUGGGGUAGUGGCUUACCAAGGCUUUGUCGGGUAGCCGGGCUUGGAGGGUGACCGGGCACAUUUGGGCUUGGAUUCGGCCCAGACUCCUACGGGGGGCAGGAGUUGGGGAUAUUUCACAAUUGGGCGGAAGCUGAUGCAGCAACGGCGGGGUCGGGAUGACGGGCGUCGGGUUGGAAACCGCUCUCGCUCAGUACGAAAGUGUGUGUGACGGUAGUGGGUAAAGAAGCACCGGCUAACUACGUG